Molecule: small nuclear RNA, 100 nt
Organism: Physeter macrocephalus (sperm whale)
Lineage: Eukaryota; Metazoa; Chordata; Mammalia; Artiodactyla; Physeteridae
Source: Ensembl
GUGCUUGCUUCAACAGCAUGUAUACUAAAUUGGAAUGAUAUGGAGAUUAUGGCCCCUGCACAAGGAUGACAUGCAGAUUCCUGAAGCGUUCCAUAUUUUU